UGAUAUGAUGGUCGACGGAAAAUGUU
RNAcentral lists this non-coding RNA (26 nucleotides) under Bombyx mori (domestic silkworm). The record is from RNAcentral. Lineage: Eukaryota; Metazoa; Arthropoda; Insecta; Lepidoptera; Bombycidae.